This 230-nucleotide long non-coding RNA is filed under the name Pongo abelii (Sumatran orangutan). RNAcentral describes it as "lincRNA". The record is from RNAcentral. Lineage: Eukaryota; Metazoa; Chordata; Mammalia; Primates; Hominidae.
AGCCUUGUUGCUCACACAAAGCCUGUUGGUGGACUCUCUUCACACGGGCGCAUGUGACAUUUGGUGCCGAAGACCUGAGACAGGAGGACUCCUUUGGGAGACCGGUCCCCUGUCCUCGCCCUCUCUCCAUGAGAUCCACCCAUGACCUCGGGUCCUCAGCCCAGCCAAAGGAACAUCUCACCAAUUUUAAACCGGUGACGCAAAGCCAACAAGAAUGAAGAAGUGGCCAG